This is a small nucleolar RNA of Tachyglossus aculeatus (Australian echidna), 139 nucleotides long. The record is from RefSeq and is a predicted model, not a curated record. Lineage: Eukaryota; Metazoa; Chordata; Mammalia; Monotremata; Tachyglossidae.
GAUCUCCUCAGGAUCACAUCUGGAGGGUUUCCAUUACUCUACCAGUCUCAGCUAUGGGAGGGAGAGUCAAGCAGAGGCCUACCCUUUCCAUUCCUAGCUUGGCCAGUGGCUAGUGAGUGGAAGACCAUCUGUAACACGU